This 645-nucleotide ribosomal RNA is filed under the name Enterococcus faecium. RNAcentral describes it as "partial 23S ribosomal RNA". It matches the Rfam family "Bacterial large subunit ribosomal RNA", at positions 1580 to 2236 of the family's 2925-position model. Lineage: Bacteria; Bacillati; Bacillota; Bacilli; Lactobacillales; Enterococcaceae. The record is from RNAcentral.
UAGUACCGAAGUUCCUGAUGUCACACUGCCGAGAAAAGCUUCUAGUGAGAAAACAGCGGCCCGUACCGCAAACCGACACAGGUAGUCGAGGAGAGAAUCCUAAGGUGAGCGAGAGAACUCUCGUUAAGGAACUCGGCAAAAUGACCCCGUAACUUCGGGAGAAGGGGUGCUGAUCAUACGAUCAGCCGCAGUGAAUAGGCCCAAGCGACUGUUUAUCAAAAACACAGGUCUCUGCAAAAUCGUAAGAUGAAGUAUAGGGGCUGACGCCUGCCCGGUGCUGGAAGGUUAAGAGGAGUGCUUAGCGCAAGCGAAGGUACGAAUUGAAGCCCCAGUAAACGGCGGCCGUAACUAUAACGGUCCUAAGGUAGCGAAAUUCCUUGUCGGGUAAGUUCCGACCCGCACGAAAGGCGUAACGAUUUGGGCACUGUCUCAACGAGAGACUCGGUGAAAUUUUAGUACCUGUGAAGAUGCAGGUUACCCGCGACAGGACGGAAAGACCCCAUGGAGCUUUACUGUAGUUUGAUAUUGAGUGUCUGUACCGCAUGUACAGGAUAGGUAGGAGCCGUAGAAAUCGGAACGCUAGUUUCGAUGGAGGCGCUGGUGGGAUACUACCCCUGCGUUAUGGCCACUCUAACCCGCACCACU